This 2846-nucleotide long non-coding RNA is filed under the name Ananas comosus (pineapple). RNAcentral describes it as "long non-coding RNA (ACOM_LNC035061)". The record is from RNAcentral. Lineage: Eukaryota; Viridiplantae; Streptophyta; Magnoliopsida; Poales; Bromeliaceae.
GGUUAAACUUCUCGAACUUGUCUUUUUAAAUAAUUGACUUAGUAUUUAUGAUUCAGUGGUUUGCUUUAAUUGAAUAAAAGUGAUUUUGUGAUUGUAAUAAAAGAUUUAUGGAUUUUUUAUGAAAUGAAAACGGUUUUCUACCCCUCGUGGUAGCGUGUUUUAAAAGAAAAGAGUUUUUGUGUGGGAAACGAUUUUAAAAAGACUUUUUCUUGAUUUUCAUGAUCCUUAGUGUUUCAAAAUGAAUUUCCGGAUAGGAAACGUUUUAAACUAAUAGCUGUGAAUUUAUAUCUAUCUGUGAUGGAAUAAAGUGGUAAUUGUGAUGUGGUUUACGUAUGUGGAUGUUCAUACCGUUAUGGUUAUAUCUUGUACAUGUGCAACGCAGUGCAAAUAAAGGAAAGACUAUGUCCAUGUGAACGGUGGAUUUUCUAUACUUGUGACGGAUUUGACAUACUCUGGAGUCAAGAUUUUUUUUUAAAAAAAAUGGGCACUUGCGCAUUGAUUUUAAAUGUAAAAAAGAAUCUCGGGGCGUCACAAUAAACCAACCGGAAGGGCGUAUAUUCUAUGUUUUAUGUUCCGAUUGGUCUAUUCUAUGUUUUAUGUUCAAAGAAGGAAAAAGAAAAUUAAAGGACGGUGAGACGGAGGAGAACUUGCCGCAAAAGGACAUAAAAUGAAGCAGACCUAUGUACUAUGCUCACGUGAUUACCUACAGCCAUAUUGAUCUUUAUAAAGACUUAAAUAGUGCAUCACGCUUUUGCAAAUUAAGCUAGUGCCACAUAAUUUGCGACGUUUAUUGGCUGUACCACAUCCCUCGCUCUCGCAAUCGUGAAGGACGGUCGACCAACAAGCAAAUAGAUCACUUUGGCAGCCCAAAUUACACGUAUUGCAACUGGUCCAUGCCUCUUACUUUGACAGCAAAUAGACUACUUUGGCUACACCACUCCCCUCUCUCUCUCUCUCUCUCUCGCUCUCUCUCUUGUGAAGGACGGUGGACCAGCAAGCAAAUAGACUAGUUAAUUUGACAGCCCAAAUUAAUUACAAAGUGUCGCAACUAGUCCAUGCCUAAGCUACUUUGACAGCAAAUAGACUAACUUUGGCUACACCACAUCCCUACGGACCUAACAAAUACUAGUGCAGGCCCCAACUUUCACAGCGGAUUUACGUAUUUUAAUCAAUUAAAAUAUAUAAUUAUUAAACUUGUAAGAUUAAUAAAUUAUAACUAAGUACAAAUAUUAUCAAAUAGUGUUAUAUACACUACAAAAAAUAACUCGUUUAUUUACUAAUAUUUUCUUAAUUUUUGAAUAGUUACAUUAUUCUAACGAUUUUAUUUAAAAUUUAAUCAGAUUUAAGGGCGCGUUUGGUUCGAAGUCGGAAUCAGAAUCAUAAUCAAAAUCGAAAUAAGCUAGAAUCGGAAUUGGAAUGACUCAUUGCCUAAUUCUGUUUGAUUUGUUACCUGAAUCGAAAUCGGAAUAAAUCAUUCUCAUUGUCGGUGUUUGAUUCAGGUAGCUAUAAAAAACGUAAUCAAAUUAAUAUACUAACUUUAUCUUUCUAAUAUAUUAAUUUAAAUUCAAAUUUAAAAUUAAAUAUUAAAAAUUUAGAUCAAAAUUUUGAAAUAAUGUCAAAAUUUUAAAUUUGUUUUUUUUUAAAAAAAUUAAACUUUGAAGUUGAGUGGAUAAUUCAAAAUAUAAAACUAAAUUUUGAUUUAUUCAAAUUCAAAUUUAAAAUUACAAUUUAAAUUUUAAUUUGAAUCCAUAAAUUUAAUUUAAGUUUUAAAUAAAAUUUGAAUAAAACUUUAUAUAAAUUAAAAUUUAAUUUAAAUUCAAAUUUAUAAGUUAAUUUCAAAAUACUUGAUUAAAUUUUAAUUUUUAAUUCAAAUUCAAAUUAAAAUUUAAAAUUAUAAAUUUAAUUUGUAAAUUUAAACUCAUAUUUUAAUUAAAAAAAGUUGAAAAAAUAAAUUUAAUCCGAAUAAAUAUCCAUUCCGGCCGGAUUCAACUUCUGGGGCAUUUCCCAUUCCACUUGGGAAUUGGAAUCGGAAUGGGACUCCCGCAUACCAAACAGUCACAAACGGAUUCACCCAUUCCGAUUCUGAUUCCAGGGUGAAAAAGAAGCGAACCAAACACGCCCUAAAAGUUUUAGAGACCGUUCUAUGAAUAACUUUUUUGAUUAAAAUGUUACAUGCACAUGAUAUAUAUUAACAUUCUAUACACCACAACUUAUAUUAGAUGAUAAAUAUUUUGAUAUCAAAAUUUAAUUAAACAUAUAUGACAUACAAAGUUAAUAAUUUAAAUUCUAUUGAUUAAAUUAGAUUUUCAAAUCUCUAUAAAAGGAUUUUAAAUAUAUGAUAUAUGUACAUGUAUUGUCACGCCCGGGUUCUAGCGGAAGACUAUCCGGUACAUAUACAGACCCGCCAUAUACCUAAAGUAUAUAUGGCGUCUACCAAAACCAUGCUAGAAGAGUAACAAUCAAUAGAAUAGUCUAACAUGGUAUCAUAGCAUAGAAUGUACAAAAUAUAUUAGAAGUACUAAAAGCAAGAGUGUAACAUAUACAAUAUCUACUAAAGACAAUAGGAAACAAGAGUAUACAACUGUAAAUACAACACUCCAACAACACUCAUACAUCACACGGUCACAAAACAGUUAUAUAUACAUGUGGUAGUCUCUAUACACGAGUAAAACAUCACCCUCGUCCACACAACCAAAACAGAGAGGUGAUCACCUAGCAGGACUCCAAGCUAUGCCUAGCUAAACGCGACUCCCUUGCCGCGAUCCCUAACCUCUCCCGCGGUGGAUGGCUCUGUAAAUAAAACAACAACAAAUAGGGCAUGAGAACUAUUAGUCAAUAGUUCCCAG